RNAcentral lists this ribosomal RNA (335 nucleotides) under Brachistosternus angustimanus. RNAcentral describes it as "partial 12S small subunit ribosomal RNA". The record is from RNAcentral. Lineage: Eukaryota; Metazoa; Arthropoda; Arachnida; Scorpiones; Bothriuridae.
UAAAAAUUUAUUUAUUUUAGGUAGUAAUAGACUUCUUGAAACCUAAAGAAUUUGGCGGUAUUUUAAAUAAUUAGAGGAACCUGUUUAAUAAAUGAUAAUCCACAACAUAUCUUACCUAGAUCAAGUUUGUAUACCGUUGUUUUCAGAUUAUAUUUAAAAAUUAUGAUCAAAAUUAAUUUAUUUUUAUAAAUCAAAUCAAGGUGCAGCAUAUUUAGGUUAAAAUGGGUUACAAUAUAUUUAUAUAUUUAUGAAUUAAUAAUGAAAACAUUUCUGAAGGUGGAUUUAAAAGUAAUUUAAAAUUAAAAUGUUUAAAUGAAUAAAAAUUUAAAAUAUGC